ACAAUGGUUCCCAUUAAGCUCGAACACAGAAUACACACACACAUAGAUAUAAGCAUCAUACACCAAUGAUAUUCUCUUAUUCAUUCCAAUUUUGUUUCUCCUCUUCGUUUUUUUUAGUUUUCUUCAUUUUCUCACUUGGGUCCGUUUGUUUUUUCACAAUUUUCCAUCCAAUAUGCCUCUUUGCUGACUUUUCACUUUGAAAAUGCUGAAAUUUUCAAUUUUUAGUUACUGCAAAUGCCCUUUUCUUUUAUGUUGAGUGUGGAGUAGCAAUUACCACUCAUUUGAUGAUCUAACAUAUGCUUUAUGUAAUUUCUUGUGUCCAUUGAAAUGAAAAAAAGGAUUUUUUUUUUGGUUUAGGUCUUAAGUUUCACGUCGUUUUUGCUUUGUUUUGAUUAUUAAGAUAUGUUGGUGGGGGUUAUGUAAUUGCAGAAUUUUGGCAUUUCAUUCGGUUGGACUUGCCAUUGAAGAUCAUGGUUUCUGAGGUUACUUUUGAAACAGAUUGUUGAAACUGAUGUUCUAGUCAUGGCGUCGGUAUCUAGAACUAUAAAGAUUGUUAAGAGGUCAGAAAGGACAUAUAAGAAUCGACAACGGCUUUAUCUUUCUGAGCAGGUUUUGCAAGAAUCCAUUGAAGCAGUGAAACCAUAUUUGCUGCAAUUGAUUGAUUUAUAGGCCUUUUUGUAGGUUUGGUAGCCAAAUUUUGGUUCAAAUGUACUUAUUUAAAUAGCUUGUCCGUACCAAAACAUAUAUGUUAAUUGCUUCAUUGUACAAACAUUGUACGAACAAUUGUACGAACAAUUGUACAUAUAUUAAAGUAUAUAUAUUAAAUCGUUAAUCAUUUUUGUCCA
Molecule: long non-coding RNA, 845 nt
Organism: Cucumis melo (muskmelon)
Lineage: Eukaryota; Viridiplantae; Streptophyta; Magnoliopsida; Cucurbitales; Cucurbitaceae
Exons: 3
Source: RefSeq, a predicted model, not a curated record